UCCCCGAUGGCUCAGUGGUAAAGAAUCCACCUGCCAAUGCAGAAGACCCGGGUUCCAUCCCUGGUUGGGGAA
Molecule: transfer RNA, 72 nt
Filed under: Bos taurus (domestic cattle)
Lineage: Eukaryota; Metazoa; Chordata; Mammalia; Artiodactyla; Bovidae
Also listed under: 3 other names
Rfam family: tRNA
About the family: Transfer RNA (tRNA) molecules are approximately 80 nucleotides in length. Their secondary structure includes four short double-helical elements and three loops (D, anti-codon, and T loops).
Source: Rfam by way of RNAcentral